Molecule: ribosomal RNA, 379 nt
Filed under: uncultured bacterium
Lineage: Bacteria
Description: bacterial SSU rRNA
Rfam family: Bacterial small subunit ribosomal RNA
Source: RNAcentral
GACGAACGCUGGCGGCGUGCUUAACACAUGCAAGUCGAGCGGUAAGGCCCUUUCGGGGGUACACGAGCGGCGAACGGGUGAGUAACACGUGGGUGACCUGCCCUCAGCUCUGGGAUAAGCCUGGGAAACCGGGUCUAAUACUGGAUAUGACUCCAUGACGCAUGUUGUGGGGUGGAAAGCCUUGUGCGGCUGAGGAUGGGCCCGCGGCCUAUCAGCUUGUUGGUGGGGGAUGGCCUACCAAGGCGACGACGGGUAGCCGGCCUGAGAGGGCGACCGGCCACACUGGGACUGAGACACGGCCCAGACUCCUACGGGGAGGCAGCAGGUGGGGAAUUCUUGCGCAAGUGGGACGAAAGCCUGACGCAGCGACGCCGCGUGA